Molecule: ribosomal RNA, 508 nt
Filed under: uncultured bacterium
Lineage: Bacteria
Description: bacterial SSU rRNA
Rfam family: Bacterial small subunit ribosomal RNA
Source: RNAcentral
AUGAACGCUGGCGGCAUGCCUAAGACAUGCAAGUCGAACGAGAAGGCCUAAUGAAAUAGAGUGCUUUGCACAAAGUUGGAUUUAGAUUCCCUUCUAGUGGACAAACGGGUGAGUAACACGUGGUUACCUACCUCUAAGACGGGGAUAACAGUUGGAAACGACUGCUAAUACCGGAUGUGGUCUACGGACUAAAGGAGCCCUUAAAGCUCCGCUUAGAGAUGGGCCUGCGGUGCAUUAGCUAGUUGGUGGGGUAAUGGCCUACCAAGGCGACGAUGCAUAGCCGAACUGAGAGGUUAAUCGGCCACACUGGGACUGAGACACGGCCCAGACUCCUACGGGAGACAGCAGUUAGGAAUAUUCGUCAAUGGGGGAAACCCUGAACGAGCAAUGCCGCGUGAGUGAUGACGGUCCUAUGGAUUGUAAACUCUGUUGUUUGGAAAGAACUGUAUAAAUAGGAAAUGAUUUAUACUUGACGGUACCAUUCAAGAAAGCCACGGCUAACUACGUG